Aedes albopictus (Asian tiger mosquito) is the source of this 1560-nucleotide long non-coding RNA. RefSeq lists it as uncharacterized. The transcript has 3 exons. The record is from RefSeq and is a predicted model, not a curated record. Lineage: Eukaryota; Metazoa; Arthropoda; Insecta; Diptera; Culicidae.
GAAAAAAAUCGACACGAUCGAUUCAUGUGUUUUAACUUGUGAACUGAUUCAAAAACGUCAACGUUAGUCUGAUGUGUCUUUCCAAUGUAUUAUGUGUUUUCUACACGUUAGAUUAAUCUGAUACAUAACAUGGAUUUUGCGGCAAAACCUACAUCACCAAAUCAAAUGUAAUUCAAUUCGAUGUAAUAUUUGAUACACUUGGCAUUCAAAUGCCUCUGUUUUUAACAGAAUCCAAUUGCCAAAACAUUACAAUCUCAUGUGUGCUACCAUAGAAAAUGAAGAAUUUUUCUAACGAAUCUGCGCUACUAGGUUUUCCAAAUGCAUUCCAUAACUGGUGGCACAUGACCAAUGAAAAAAAGCCUCCAAACAUAAAACAUGUUUUAUCACGGCCAUUUUGAAUAACCAACAGCCUCGCCAACAGCAGAACAUGAUCGUGCCGUCAAUCAUUUCGUCAAUUUUCACCAACAGCAGAUUGGCGGAGCUGGUGGAGGAUUCGAAGAAACGACUUGACCUAGUUUUGGUGGCCUCAGCUUUUGUCAUUUUUAAACGCCAGUCAUUCCUCGAACUUGUCGGGCUAAUCGAACUGAAGUGCAUGAUCUCCACGAACGGAUUUCCUGGUGAUAAUGGUGUGCGUAUGCCAACAUAACCAAAAAGAUCUGCUACGGUCGACCGAGUUCCGGAAAUUACUUCUCCGUGGAAGUGCAUGACGCAUAGCAGGAGGACACGACAAUGCUUUAGAGCUGCUAUCGGACCGAAAAAGUAUGUAUCAUACAUGAACACGGCCAACCUUUUGAUAAAUUGGGAACAAGUGCCUGCUGCCGCCACCACCAACCGGAGCCGGAGUUGCUUCCACCGAAUCUUCCGGAAAAACUCUCCGAAUGGAAGGUAUCUGCUGACGAUUUCGUUCUUCAGGAGCAGCCCGAGUGGGAGGUGUCACAUAAUUGUGAUUCCAAAUGUGCUGUAAAGGAGGACUACCGGAAGAGAUGAUUCUGUGGCCAAUAUUGCCAAUAUGAGAGCUAUCGAUGCGCCAGGGCCAUUUUAUAGGUCGUAAGUAUAUGUAGAUUGUCUAUCAUGUAAAGUGUAAAAUAGAAGAAAACAACAAUAAAUGUUUUUAAAAUCACUGAAUUUAAGUUUCCUUUUAAGUGUCCUUAUUUCAUGCGUGCUUAGUUAUACCAUCACGAUUUUAAAUAAAAUUUCAAGAGAUUCAACAUCUCUUGAAAUUCCAAACUAAAAUCGUGAUGGUAAAACUGAGCUCGCAUGAAAUAAGGUCAUAACAUAAAGUAAUUUUUGCCUGGAGGACUAUAUGGGCAUCAUAACGUGAAAUCUAUGUGCAACAAAACACGAAAUCUAUGUUCAGCGUAAUGUGGCAUUUAUGUUUUCAUAAGUUGUUAUUUAUUGACUCUUCAAUCGGAAUGCAUAUGUAUUUCAUUCAAAUAUCGUGUGAGGUACACAUGAGAUUCGUGUGGAUUGUUGACAGAUCGGGGCAAAACAUUUGUUGGUGAUUCUAUAUGUUCCACACGUGACAUUCGUGGGGCUUUACAAUUUGCGCAAAUCUAUAUG